AUGGCGUUGCCGCAACCGGCCUCUGUACCCAUCCUCGAUGAGCUCAUGGAGGAGAUCUUCCUCCGCCUUCCUACCCUAAACAUACUCACCCAUGCCUCCUCCAUGUGCGCCACAUUCUACCGCAUCAUCAAAGGCCGCACCUUCCGCCACCGCUUUCGUGCACUCCAAUGGCCUACCAUCCUCAGCUUCAUGCAUGCAACCGGACUCCACCCCACUCAGGCUCCGCAUGCCUCCGCCCCCGCUUGA
Molecule: ribosomal RNA, 246 nt
Filed under: Triticum aestivum (bread wheat)
Lineage: Eukaryota; Viridiplantae; Streptophyta; Magnoliopsida; Poales; Poaceae
Description: partial small subunit ribosomal RNA
Source: RNAcentral